Molecule: ribosomal RNA, 260 nt
Filed under: uncultured soil bacterium
Lineage: Bacteria
Description: partial 16S ribosomal RNA
Rfam family: Bacterial small subunit ribosomal RNA
Source: RNAcentral
AGGACGAACGCUGGCGGCGUGCUUAACACAUGCAAGUCGAACGGUGAUGGAGAGCUUGCUCUUCUGAUCAGUGGCAAACGGGUGAGUAACACGUGAGUAACCUGCCCUUCACUCUGGGAUAACUCCGGGAAACCGGGCUAAUACUGGAUACGACCUGAACAGGCAUCUGUAUCGGGUGGAAAGAUUUAUUGGUGGAGGGAUGGACUCGCGGCCUAUCAGCUUGUUGGUGAGGUAAUGGCUUACCAAGGCGACGACGGGUA